AGACAUAUCAAUAAGCGGAGGAUCAUUA
RNAcentral lists this ribosomal RNA (28 nucleotides) under Colletotrichum falcatum. RNAcentral describes it as "partial 18S ribosomal RNA". Lineage: Eukaryota; Fungi; Ascomycota; Sordariomycetes; Glomerellales; Glomerellaceae. The record is from RNAcentral.